RNAcentral lists this ribosomal RNA (222 nucleotides) under Triticum aestivum (bread wheat). RNAcentral's name for it is "partial small subunit ribosomal RNA". Lineage: Eukaryota; Viridiplantae; Streptophyta; Magnoliopsida; Poales; Poaceae. The record is from RNAcentral.
AUGACGGCUUGCGAGAGGAUGAACGAAGCAGUGGUCCAGCGGCACCGGGAAUGGGCGUGGGAGGUGCAGAUCCGAAGCCGGAAGGCGAGCUCUGGCCGGAUCCAGGGCGAGAACGGCGGAGAUGGCCGGCAGGGCAGGAGGCGCGAUGUCGGAGGCGACGAUGACGAAGACGUUGGGGUGUGCCCAGACACGAAGGAGGCAUGGCGCGAUGCGGCUCGUUGA